Molecule: ribosomal RNA, 250 nt
Filed under: uncultured archaeon
Lineage: Archaea
Description: partial 16S ribosomal RNA
Rfam family: Bacterial small subunit ribosomal RNA
Source: RNAcentral
UACGAAGGGUGCAAGCGUUAUUCGGAAUCAUUGGGCGUAAAGCGCGCGCAGGCGGAUCAGCAAGUCAGAUGUGAAAUCUCAGAGCUCAACUCUGAAACUGCGUCUGAAACUGCUAGUCUAGAGUGUCGGAGGGGGUAGGGGAAUUUCACGUGUAGGGGUAAAAUCCGUAGAGAUGUGAAGGAACACCGGGGGCGAAGGCGCCUACCUGGACGACUACUGACGCUGAGGCGCGAAAGCGUGGGGAGCAAAC